Molecule: long non-coding RNA, 990 nt
Organism: Dromaius novaehollandiae (emu)
Lineage: Eukaryota; Metazoa; Chordata; Aves; Casuariiformes; Dromaiidae
Exons: 3
Source: RefSeq, a predicted model, not a curated record
GUGGGCUGGACGUGGGCCUCCGCGUCGUGGACUGGCGAGUCGGGUUGCUGCCUGGUGGGCAGAGGGGAAGGAGGCUGCUCCUCCUGGAGGCUGGGACGUCUCUAGCCCAGAUUAGGCUACAUUUUUAAGAGAAUAAAAGGGCAGGAUUUAAGUUCUAGGUCUAAGUUAAGUUUUACCGAGCGUUGUGUCUGUUAGUGCUGUGCUUAACCGCGGCCUUUGCACGCCCUGUGUCGGCUGCGGUUGGGCGGGGAUCCCCAGCACGCUGCGGUGUGCAUGGAGCGAUCCGGCCUUUACCUGCUGCUCGGCAAGGAGGGGCUUUUCUUGGCAGUUUGGGUGGAGCGUAGCGGGAUGGCAAGCUAUGGAAACGGAGAGCGUUCGUGCUCUGCUAUUGCGUUCACUGCUAUUCACUCUUGGUCCCUUCACCAUUUGUAACCCGGAGCUGCUUUGUUUCAAACUCCAUUCGCUUUAUUUGUUGUUCCAUCGGUGUAAUCGCCUCGUGCUACCCGUUCUACAGAAAACUGGUUUUCCAGAACCCUGCAAUCCCCCAUCUGUGAUCUCUAGAUGUCUCUAUUGCCCUAAUGUAAGAAAAAUAUGAAAAAGGCAGGGACAGCAAAACAGUUGGUAUGUGAUCUUGGACAGAAAUGUAUAUGUGAAAGAUCCCUCUGUCUUCUCCUCCGCAGCUAGAUUCGAGUGGGAUUUGUCCGUUCGGUUGUGGGGAAGAAACGUAGCGUGCCCGUUCCCGUUGUUUUUCACUGAUGCAAGCUUGCAGCUCGCAUGCGCUUCCCCAGGUGCUGGGUGCUCCCUUCCCGUGGAGCUGCAGGAUCCCCGUGCCAGCGCUGUGCCCCAGGAGACGUGGUCCUGCAGCAGAUGCCAGGCUGAGGAGGAGCCCGAGAGCAGGAGUCCAGAUCUUCUAUACAUUCUAAUCAUGGAGAACAGAAGCGGGAUGGUAAAAUGGCAUGCCUCACGCCACCCAGAAAAUCAGUAGCAGAG